UGGGAUGUAGCUCAAUUUGUAGAGUGCUUGCUUGGCAUGCAUAAGGCCCUGGGUUCAAUCCCCAGGACCCAG
This 72-nucleotide transfer RNA is filed under the name Neotoma lepida (desert woodrat). It matches the Rfam family "tRNA". Rfam says of the family: Transfer RNA (tRNA) molecules are approximately 80 nucleotides in length. Their secondary structure includes four short double-helical elements and three loops (D, anti-codon, and T loops). The record is from Rfam by way of RNAcentral. Lineage: Eukaryota; Metazoa; Chordata; Mammalia; Rodentia; Cricetidae.